This 652-nucleotide ribosomal RNA is filed under the name Flavobacteriales bacterium. RNAcentral's name for it is "bacterial SSU rRNA". It matches the Rfam family "Bacterial small subunit ribosomal RNA", at positions 90 to 740 of the family's 1533-position model. The record is from RNAcentral. Lineage: Bacteria; Pseudomonadati; Bacteroidota; Flavobacteriia; Flavobacteriales.
UGAGACCGGCGCACGGGUGCGUAACACGUAUGCAAUCUACCUUGUACAGAGGGAUAGCCCGGAGAAAUCCGGAUUAAUACCUCAUAGUAUUAUGAAAUGGCAUCAUUUUAUAAUUAAAGAUUUAUCGGUACAAGAUGAGCAUGCGUCCCAUUAGUUAGUUGGUAAGGUAACGGCUUACCAAGACUAUGAUGGGUAGGGGUCCUGAGAGGGAUGUCCCCCACACUGGUACUGAGACACGGACCAGACUCCUACGGGAGGCAGCAGUGAGGAAUAUUGGUCAAUGGACGCAAGUCUGAACCAGCUAUGCCGCGUGCAGGAAGAAGGUUCUAUGGAUCGUAAACUGCUUUUGUACAGGAAGAAAUUAUCCCUCGUGAGGGAGCUUGACGGUACUGUAAGAAUAAGGAUCGGCUAACUCCGUGCCAGCAGCCGCGGUAAUACGGAGGAUCCAAGCGUUAUCCGGAAUCAUUGGGUUUAAAGGGUUCGUAGGCGGUUUUGUAAGUCAGUGGUGAAAGUUUGCAGCUUAACUGUAAAAUUGCCAUUGAUACUGCAAGACUUGAAUGUUUGUGAAGUAGCUAGAAUAUGUAGUGUAGCGGUGAAAUGCUUAGAUAUUACAUGGAAUACCGAUUGCGAAGGCAGGUUACUAACAAAUUAU